This 252-nucleotide ribosomal RNA is filed under the name uncultured Pseudomonadota bacterium. Its description in RNAcentral is "uncultured proteobacterium partial 16S ribosomal RNA". It matches the Rfam family "Bacterial small subunit ribosomal RNA", at positions 191 to 445 of the family's 1533-position model. The record is from RNAcentral. Lineage: Bacteria; Pseudomonadati; Pseudomonadota.
GCCCUCCGGGGGAAAGGUCAGCCGCUGAAAGAGGGGCCCGCGUCUGAUUAGCUUGUUGGUAAGGUAAUGGCUUACCAAGGCAACGAUCAGUAGCUGGUCUGAGAGGAUGAUCAGCCACACUGGGACUGAGACACGGCCCAGACUCCUACGGGAGGCAGCAGUGGGGAAUAUUGGACAAUGGAGGCAACUCUGAUCCAGCAAUGCCGCGUGUGUGAUGAAGGCCCUAGGGUGGUAAAGCACUUUCAACGGUGA